RNAcentral lists this transfer RNA (64 nucleotides) under Hemaris radians. RNAcentral describes it as "tRNA-Ile". Lineage: Eukaryota; Metazoa; Arthropoda; Insecta; Lepidoptera; Sphingidae. The record is from RNAcentral.
AAUAAAGUGCCUGAUUAAAGGAUUAUUCUGAUAGGAUAAAUCAAGUAGAUUUCUACCUUUAUUA